RNAcentral lists this ribosomal RNA (460 nucleotides) under uncultured bacterium. RNAcentral describes it as "partial 16S ribosomal RNA". It matches the Rfam family "Bacterial small subunit ribosomal RNA", at positions 338 to 795 of the family's 1533-position model. The record is from RNAcentral.
CCUACGGGGGGCAGCAGUGAGGAGUAUUGGUCAAUGGACGAGAGUCUGAACCAGCCAAGUAGCGUGAAGGAUGACUGCCCUAUGGGUUGUAAACUUCUUUUAUAUGGGAAUAAAACGUUCCACGUGUGGGAUUUUGUAUGUACCAUAUGAAUAAGGAUCGGCUAACUCCGUGCCAGCAGCCGCGGUAAUACGGAGGAUCCGAGCGUUAUCCGGAUUUAUUGGGUUUAAAGGGAGCGUAGGUGGAUUGUUAAGUCAGUUGUGAAAGUUUGCGGCUCAACCGUAAAAUUGCAGUUGAAACUGGCAGUCUUGAGUACAGUAGAGGUGGGCGGAAUUCGUGGUGUAGCGGUGAAAUGCUUAGAUAUCACGAAGAACUCCGAUUGCGAAGGCAGUUCACUGGACUGCAACUGACACUGAGGCUCGAAAGUGUGGGUAUCAAACAGGAUUAGAUACCCCUGUAGUC